GUAGCCGGCCGGAUAAGUCUCUUGGGAAAUCUGGCAGCUUAACUGUCAGGCUUUCAGGAGAUACUGUCUGGCUCGAGGCCGGGAGAGGUGAGAGGUACUUCAGGGGUAGGGGUGAAAUCUUGUAAUCCUUGAAGGACCACCAGUGGCGAAGGCGUCUCACCAGAACGGACCUGACGGCAAGGGACGAAAGCUAGGGGCACGAACCGGAUUAGAUACCCGGGUAGUCCUAGCCGUAAACAGAUACUCGCUAGGUGUCGGCAACGGUGCGACCGUUGUCGGUGCCGUA
RNAcentral lists this ribosomal RNA (286 nucleotides) under uncultured archaeon SYA_2000_68. RNAcentral describes it as "partial 16S ribosomal RNA". It matches the Rfam family "Archaeal small subunit ribosomal RNA", at positions 521 to 805 of the family's 1478-position model. The record is from RNAcentral.